CUAGUACCCCUUCCGUCCGCAAAUACUUAUUGAAAAAAUAAAUAAAAGUGAAUGUAUCUAUAAUUUAAAUACGUUUAAAUACAUCCAUUUCUCCGACAAGUAUUUCCGGACGGAGGGAGUAUUAA
This is a non-coding RNA of Triticum aestivum (bread wheat), 125 nucleotides long. NCBI's taxonomy places the organism in Eukaryota, Viridiplantae, Streptophyta, Magnoliopsida, Poales, Poaceae. The record is from Rfam.